GGGAGGGAGGGGACCGGCGCAGCCACAUCGUCAGGCCGCCGGGCCCAGCCCGCAGCCGCCCGAGCGCGGUGGAGGAGACAGAGGGGAGGGUGCAGACCCUUGGCGCCUUACCGGAGCGCUGCACCGCCGCGUCCGCAGGGCCUCUUCCGUCCUUCACUCCCAUCCACCGGCGGGGGGAAGGGGGAGGGAGAGGGAAGGGAGGAAGGAGGGAGGGAGGGAAGGAGGGAGGGGAGGAUGGCGCGCUGGGCCCGGUCCUCGGGAGGGGGAGGGGAGGGAAGCGGGCGGGCUCUUCAGCCGUUCCGGGGCUCGAGCCCAAGCCCAGCGCUCGCGGUUUCUGUUGCUCGCGCCCGAGCGCUUCCUUCCUGCCCUUUCUCGUUCUCUAGACCCUCGGGCCGCUGUUCAAUCGCUCCCUCACUCGCUAUCUCGGCCGUCGGACUCCGCCGCCGCCCCGCCGCUCCAGCUCCGUCUGUCACAGGAGCUGCCCCAGCGCCCUGACGUCACCGCGCCGCCGCCGCCCCAGACCCGCCAGGAAGAGGGAGGGGAGCGGAGGAGGGGCUGCGGCGCAUGCGCGGGCGCGGCUGGGCCCCUGAGUCGCCGUCUUCGUCCUGGCGAGCGGGCGAUCGCGGCCAGUGCUACUUGGCGGUACGGAGUGGCCGGUGGGCGAGCGUGCGCACGAGGCCCUGCUUUUCACGUCCCUCGUGCCGCUAUAACCUUGGAAGAGCCCCUUUUUUCCUCGACUCUGUUGUGUCCCCUCACGAACUCUGGUCCCACUCACCUAACCGCCCCGCUUUUGCCCCACUGCAUGCUGCGCUCUCUCCGCUUCCCCGGCGGACAGCGGGGACCAGUCGGCGCCCCUGCAUCCCGGCCCCGGUAGGUUCCAGAGUAAGAAAGCCCGGGCCAGGCUAUCGCCCAUUCUGCCUGCGGCCUGCUGUAUUAUCACCACCCCGCCAAAAAGAAAGGGAAGUAGGUUGGUUUGCUUGGGAGGAUUCGCUUUUAGAUGUGAUUCAGCUGUUAUUUUCCUUAGUCACACACCACGCAUCAGAGACUCUAGAAGUCUCGAAACUGACUCCCAAAGAAAGACCUGGAACUUUAUCCCUACAAGGAAUAUCGGCGGUCUCUGUAUGUAGCCAAGUUGGCCUCAAACUCACCAGGAUUCUUCUGCCUCAGCCUCCCAAGUGACGGGAUUACAGGUUCUUGAGUGCUGGGAUUAACAGGCAUGUGCCACCGUGUCCAGCCUAUGAUGAACAUUUCUGAACAUAAUUUUUUGUUACAUUGUGCUGCUUACUUCCUUAAGAUAGAACCCCAAAAUUAGGGUUACUAGGCCAAAAGAUAAGGUCUUUUAAUUUGUUUAUUUGUUUGUACUGGGAAUUGAACCCAGGGCCUUCACACUGUGCUACAUC
This is a long non-coding RNA of Heterocephalus glaber (naked mole-rat), 1400 nucleotides long. The record is from Ensembl. NCBI's taxonomy places the organism in Eukaryota, Metazoa, Chordata, Mammalia, Rodentia, Bathyergidae.